AUGUGUGUACCGAAGAAAGAGGGUCUGGGAUUUAGAGACCUACACGGUUCUAACCUUGCUAUGUUAUCAAAAUAGCGUUGGCGACUUAUUCAGAAUCCGGACUCCUUAUGUGCAUGUGUGUUGAGUGCAGAGUAUUAUCUCGACGGGGACAUAUUGAAGGUCAGACCAAAGAAGUGAUUUUCCUAUACAUGACAGAGUAUUGUAGCAGGCAUCCAAACUUUUCAAAGGGCUUGCAUUUGGCGAGUGGCAUCAGAUUAA
RNAcentral lists this ribosomal RNA (258 nucleotides) under Triticum aestivum (bread wheat). RNAcentral's name for it is "partial small subunit ribosomal RNA". The record is from RNAcentral. Lineage: Eukaryota; Viridiplantae; Streptophyta; Magnoliopsida; Poales; Poaceae.